UUAUCAGUUAAAAUUAUUGUGAUUAGCAUAUCGUAUUUUCCCGUAGAAUAUAAAUGUAUAGGAUUUAUUUAAUACUGUGUCGUAUGUGCUCAAGCUGCAAGUACAGCGUUGUACUGAGAACGUUAUAAACUGCAGAUUUAGUUUCAUAGUUGUAAGCUUAUAUUAAAGAGUAGAAAGCUAUCUUGUAUGCAACUUAGUACUGUUUAUAUGGUUGUUGGAAGGCUUCUUGAAAGUUAACUCUCAUUCAAACGUUUUGAGUUGUUAAGUAGUGAAGUUCUUGAAGUUUAUUUUCAGUCCCUGAAGCCUUUAACGAUGAGACUUGCUAAAAGCAGAAGGUGACAUGCAGCUAAACAGUAGAUACUGUGAGAGAUUUGCAUUUGUAAAACAGGAUACUGAAGUAGCAGUUGUAAUAAGUGAUGUCAUGGUCACCGUAUUGUAUGUGCUUGAAAUGGUUUAAACCCUGUUGAUGACAUUACUGUUUAAAACAGGAACGCAUCGCAAAUUCGGUAGUACCACAACAGAAUGACUACAGGAGCGAAAUGUACAUCUCGCCACUCCAAAUUGGGGCCCAGCUCAUCGUCAGACUGCAGACCAUAUCUAAGCUCUUAUGGGGCGUGAUGGUUACAGAAACAUCCGCCAGCUUGUCACAAGGUAGUAACGUUGAUGACUGGGCUGAGGAUGCUGUUUUGUUCAAGACUAACCCACAUCUCGUUUUGGACAAUCCCUCCACCACUCCAAAUGCUCCACAAAAAACUAAGGCUUCAUCAUCAUGAAAGAUUGCCCAUCAGGUCUCGAACAUACAAGGUACCGUGGCGAAUAAGUUCCGCUGCCAUCGUUAGCCUGAUGUUCCUUCCAUGGUGUGGCCAAGAAGGGGAACAAUUUGGCGUCGCACUUCUGUGUAUUGAAUUGAACUUGUGAUCGCCAAAAGACUGCUAGUGUUUCACCACUACCAGCAAGAGAUUUUGGACUAUGCUUCAUCGCGUGUCAGUCUCCCUGAUGCCACCCACUCAGACCAGGGGCACUACCCACAGGUGCCACCUAGCCACAGCAAAGGCCACAUGGCAGGGCGGCCAUUGCCGGAUGUCCGGAUGCCCCAGGGGGAUGGGUAUCUACCCCUUGGCAUACGUGUGGAUUUAAUGGCACAGGCAUCAGCAGAGUGAUCCCUGUGUGGUCAGGGGCUACAACCAACACGGUACAUGGUGGACCCACCACGACGAACUGGCUACCAUUCUGGAUAUCGGGUGCAAAGAAAUACAUGGUCAUCGUCGACACAGAAAGCGACACUGCACAAUUCAUGGUGGAAAACACAUCCAGGAAGGUGUCCUCGCCCAAGAGAUGGGGAAUAAGCGGGACUGAGAUGCAACAAUGAGGAAGUGGGCUAAAGAUUUCAGUGCACGAUGGACAUUAUGCACCAUGUAAGGCUCCCUUCCCCAAUUGGCUUGAUCUUUGGGAAAAUUUUGAAGAAUGGAGUUCAAAACCAUACAGGGGACUGUAACAUAAAGACCGAAACAUGGGAAACUCCUUUUAAUUGCCUCUUAUGACAGACAGGAAUACCUCUGGCCUAUUCUUAUCCCUGGACGUGCAGGGCGAGAACCAUCAGUGAUUUCACCAAAGCAAAGAUGACUGAUGUGAAUCUACUACUUACUAUCUAAACAGUUUGGGGAUGACUGCAAGAGCAUAGGAGAUUUAGAUUUCUGUGUGAACUUCAUAUUGUAACGGGCAGUGAGGAAGAGGUUUGUACAUCAGCUUGUGGUUGCAUGAAAGGAGCAUGAGGACCUUACCAAAUAUUAAGAGAAGCCAAAAGAAUGGCCAUUCUCAAGAUUCUAUAAAUCAAAAUAUUUACCUGAAAGACAUGCUGAAUUUGAUAUGAAAUGAUUAAUGUGAACAUAUUUAUUGUGUAAUAAAAAUGUUUUCAAAGACAAA
Schistocerca gregaria is the source of this 1923-nucleotide long non-coding RNA. RefSeq lists it as uncharacterized. The record is from RefSeq and is a predicted model, not a curated record. Lineage: Eukaryota; Metazoa; Arthropoda; Insecta; Orthoptera; Acrididae. The transcript is spliced from 3 exons.